This 253-nucleotide ribosomal RNA is filed under the name uncultured bacterium. RNAcentral's name for it is "partial 16S ribosomal RNA". It matches the Rfam family "Bacterial small subunit ribosomal RNA", at positions 524 to 776 of the family's 1533-position model. The record is from RNAcentral.
UACGAACCGUCCAAACGUUAUUCGGAAUUACUGGGCUUAAAGGGUGCGUAGGCGGCCCGAUAAGUUGGGUGUGAAAUCCCUCGGCUUAACCGAGGAAUUGCGCCCAAGACUGUCGGGCUUGAGUGAGAUAGAGGUGAGCGGAACUUAGGGUGGAGCGGUGAAAUGCGUUGAUAUCCUAAGGAACACCGGUGGCGAAAGCGGCUCACUGGGUCUUGUCUGACGCUGAGGCACGAAAGCUAGGGGAGCGAACGGG